This 498-nucleotide ribosomal RNA is filed under the name uncultured bacterium. Its description in RNAcentral is "partial 16S ribosomal RNA". It matches the Rfam family "Bacterial small subunit ribosomal RNA", at positions 30 to 523 of the family's 1533-position model. The record is from RNAcentral.
AUUGAACGCUGGCGGCAUGCCUUACACAUGCAAGUCGAACGGUAACGGGCCUUCGGGUGCCGACGAGUGGCGAACGGGUGAGUAAUGUAUCGGAACGUACCUUUCAGUGGGGGAUAACGUAGCGAAAGUUACGCUAAUACCGCAUAUUCUGUGAGCAGGAAAGCAGGGGAUCGCAAGACCUUGCGCUGAUUGAGCGGCCGAUAUCAGAUUAGCUAGUUGGUGAGGUAAAGGCUCACCAAGGCGACGAUCUGUAGCGGGUCUGAGAGGAUGGUGCGCAGCACUGGAACUGGGACACGGGCCAGACUCCCACGGGAGGCAGCAGUGGGGAAUUUUGGACAAUGGGGGCAACCAUGCUCCAGCCAUGCCGCGUGAGGGAAGAAGGCCUUCGGGUUGUAAAGCUCUUUCGGCCGGGAAGAAAUCGUAUGGGUUAAUACCCUGUGCGGAUGACGGUACCGGCAUAAGAAGCACCGGCUAACUACGUGCCAGCAGCCGCCGUAA